This 253-nucleotide ribosomal RNA is filed under the name uncultured bacterium. RNAcentral describes it as "partial 16S ribosomal RNA". It matches the Rfam family "Bacterial small subunit ribosomal RNA", at positions 524 to 776 of the family's 1533-position model. The record is from RNAcentral.
UACGUAGGAGGCGAGCGUUGUCCGGAGUUACUGGGCGUAAAGCGUGCGCAGGCGGUUCGUUGUGUCGGCGGUGAAAUCCCCGGGCUCAACCUGGGAAUGGCCGUUGAAACUGGCGAACUGGAGUGUGGCAGAGGGGGGUGGAAUUCCGCGUGUAGCAGUGAAAUGCGUAGAGAUGCGGAGGAACACCGAUGGCGAAGGCAGCCCCCUGGGCUGACACUGACGCUCAGGCACGAAAGCGUGGGGAGCAAACAGG